This 910-nucleotide long non-coding RNA is filed under the name Ananas comosus (pineapple). Its description in RNAcentral is "long non-coding RNA (ACOM_LNC002656)". The record is from RNAcentral. Lineage: Eukaryota; Viridiplantae; Streptophyta; Magnoliopsida; Poales; Bromeliaceae.
UUUUUUUGGGGGGAAAACCUUCAAAUACCACCCCUCAGUGGUUUAACAAUUUCUUAUUUUACUAUCUUGUGAUUUAAAGUCUAUCAUUUUUAUCUUUUUAUUAUCGAUUUUACUAUUUUUUUUCGUUAAAUCAGUGACAAAGUUAAAACUAAAAGUUACGAAAGUGAAUAUUUGAUAAAUCCAGAUAGAGUAUUUGAAGUUUUUUAUAUAUAAUUUAACGAAAUAUUAACGAAAAAACUAACGAAAAAAUAAAAAUGAAACCACAGGACACUAACUCGAUAUACUUUAAACCACAUAAUACUAAAGUGAGAAAAUGCGAAACCACUGAAGUGGUAUUUGAAAAUUACCUUUUUUUUUAAUAUAUUAUUAGAAAAUAGAUAUCAUUCUAUUUAACCUAACAUUCUAAUGAGGGUUUUUAUGUACUUUUAUCCUUUUUACAUUAUUAUUAAUCUCUUUGUAGUUGUAAGUUGUAACUGGAAAGAUCAUGAAAAUCGAGGGUGAGAGCAUAUUCUGAUUUGUCAUCCUACUCAGAUGCUCACAUUAAUAAGUAUUUUUAUAUAGGUAAAAUAUAAGCCAUGCAGUGAUUUUUCCAAGGUACUAUUAUUUCCGUAAAAAUUCUAAUAUUUUUCAAAUAUAUUUUCGCUGUUAGAAAACUUUAGUUAACAAUAGGUUAAACACUUAACUCUGAUUAGUUUAUGAAAUAACUUAAUAUUUUUAUUUUUUUAUAUUAUACUGUUGUGGUUUUUGAAUGGACACAUUUGUGAUAGCAAAAUUAGCAUUUUACUUAAAAUAUAAAUAAUUUUAUAACGAUAACAAAUCAGAGAGAUAUAUUUGAAAAUAAUAGAGCUUUUGUAGAAAUAAAAUAUAAAUAUGAAACUUUAUAGGGAUAUAUUUAUAAUUUAUUAUGUUU